RNAcentral lists this ribosomal RNA (492 nucleotides) under uncultured bacterium. RNAcentral's name for it is "partial 16S ribosomal RNA". It matches the Rfam family "Bacterial small subunit ribosomal RNA", at positions 29 to 507 of the family's 1533-position model. The record is from RNAcentral.
AGUGAACGCUGGCGGUAGGCCUAACACAUGCAAGUCGAACGGCAGCACAGUAAGAGCUUGCUCUUCCGGGUGGCGAGUGGCGGACGGGUGAGGAAUACAUCGGAAUCUACUUUUUCGUGGGGGAUAACGUAGGGAAACUUACGCUAAUACCGCAUCCGACCUACGGGUGAAAGCAGGGGAUCUUCGGACCUUGCGCGAUUGAAUGAGCCGAUGUCGGAUUAGCUAGUUGGCGGGGUAAAGGCCCACCAAGGCGACGAUCCGUAGCUGGUCUGAGAGGAUGAUCAGCCACACUGGAACUGAGACACGGUCCAGACUCCUACGGGAGGCAGCAGUGGGGAAUAUUGGACAAUGGGCGCAAGCCUGAUCCAGCCAUACCGCGUGGGUGAAGAAGGCCUUCGGGUUGUAAAGCCCUUUUGUUGGGAAAGAAAAGCAGCAGGUUAAUACCCCGCUGUUCUGACGGUACCCAAAGAAUAAGCACCGGCUAACUUCGUG